UUGAUUGUUUUGUUUUGUUUUCUUUCCAAUGCUUGUAAUUAGCAGCUUUGGUGAUCAGAAAGGACCAGCUGGAGAAAACCAGAGAUUCUAAGAGGCAGAGAUGAGGAGAGAGUUCAUUCCAGACAUGGGCCACUGAGGACUAAAGCAUGAUAUCUGAGGAUGGAAGGUUGUGUGUGAAAGAGGGCAAGAAGGGAACUGAAGCCCUAGGGACAAUUGCUUCUUGGUUCCUGAGAAGAAAAUGGAAAUGUACAUUUUCUCAUUUGCUAUCAAAUAAAUAAUCCUUCCUAUGGAGCCAGGUUGUUGUUGAGUGACUCAGCAAGUCUUGGUGCAUUUUUCAAUGACACAGGUGAGUUGCUAUAAAAACAUGACAUAUUGAAGCUGUUGAAUUGUGUAAUG
Molecule: long non-coding RNA, 396 nt
Filed under: Monodelphis domestica (gray short-tailed opossum)
Lineage: Eukaryota; Metazoa; Chordata; Mammalia; Didelphimorphia; Didelphidae
Description: lncRNA (ENSMODG00000039832.1)
Source: RNAcentral